This is a long non-coding RNA of Oxyura jamaicensis (ruddy duck), 401 nucleotides long. RefSeq lists it as uncharacterized. The transcript is spliced from 3 exons. NCBI's taxonomy places the organism in Eukaryota, Metazoa, Chordata, Aves, Anseriformes, Anatidae. The record is from RefSeq and is a predicted model, not a curated record.
GAUUAUGGAUCUGGAGGUGGGGCGAUGAAAUGUGGAAAACAACUCAGAACUUUGUCUUUGAACUCAAGAACUGCUGCUUGUUGGAGAAGGUCAAUUUAGAGCAUCAGCGUUCAACCUUCUUCAGUUUACAGGGCCUUCAGGAAAGAAAUUCCAUGUUAUAAAGGUGCCACCUAAAAUUCACAGUUCCUGAGAGAAAAUGAUGUUUUUCCUUUAUAUCUGUCUCUUUCAUUAGUGAAGUCAGUACUCAAGGAUUCUAUAUUGGGCACUAACCCUAGAAGAGCUAGACUGAUGACUUUUGGAAGUCUACCUGUGCUUGGCUUGCUUUCUAAUGUUCACAGAUCCUGUUGAUAUCUUCUACUUAGACUUGAUGUGGAACCUGUUUUGUAAUUGUUCUUUGUUCC